AUUAAAACUAUGAUGGGGACAGUAAGCAUCAGGAAACCUUUUAGCGAACCGGGGAGGGUGCAAGCCCGGCAGGGGAUGAUGACUGAAAAUCACCCAGGAGUGUGAUUCUGAAACUAAAGGAGUAAGAAUUGCCGGCUUAUUUGCCGUUAUCAAAAAUGAGAGGGAAAAAGAUGUAAUAAUAUAAAUUAUAAAUGAUCUUUUUCCUAUUUGGGUGGUAACGCGGGAGAAAUCUCGUCCCUUUU
This 242-nucleotide non-coding RNA is filed under the name Tepidanaerobacter acetatoxydans. Its description in RNAcentral is "T-box sequence". It matches the Rfam family "T-box leader". From Rfam's summary of the family: Uncharged tRNA acts as the effector for transcription antitermination of genes in the T-box leader family. T-boxes are found upstream of many aminoacyl-tRNA synthetase genes and some amino acid biosynthetic genes usually in Gram-positive bacteria. The anticodon of a specific tRNA base pairs to a specifier sequence within the T-box motif, and the NCCA acceptor tail of the tRNA base pairs to a conserved bulge in the T-box antiterminator hairpin. The record is from RNAcentral. Lineage: Bacteria; Bacillati; Bacillota; Clostridia; Thermosediminibacterales; Tepidanaerobacteraceae. RNAcentral also lists the same sequence under 1 other name.